CUCUACAGACACUAUUUAUCUCCCUUUUUACACUAUUCGCCCCCUCCCUGACUUGAGCGUCGGAGGGCCGGCGCCGGAAAACCCGGCCACCGGUUCGUGUGCAGGCACCCAGACGGAGGACUCCGCCAGCUGACGGAUCGCCGCCUCGCCACGAGGACCAGCUGCUCCUUCUCCCCGAUCACACCAGACAGAGGACGCCGCUCGCCGACGGACCGCCGCCCCGCCGUGA
This 229-nucleotide long non-coding RNA is filed under the name Phoenix dactylifera (date palm). RNAcentral describes it as "long non-coding RNA (PDAC_LNC006631)". Lineage: Eukaryota; Viridiplantae; Streptophyta; Magnoliopsida; Arecales; Arecaceae. The record is from RNAcentral.